RNAcentral lists this long non-coding RNA (202 nucleotides) under Elaeis guineensis (African oil palm). RNAcentral's name for it is "long non-coding RNA (EGUI_LNC068589)". The record is from RNAcentral. Lineage: Eukaryota; Viridiplantae; Streptophyta; Magnoliopsida; Arecales; Arecaceae.
UCCCCAAUUUCACAUGCCUAAGAAUAGGCUACUAUCAUAUCCCACACGCAAAGGAGUUGGGCUGAUCCCAAGAGUGCACCUGAAGGAGUUCAGGCACCGUCCAAUCGAAGGAAAAAGAAAGGCUGUGGCAAGUGUUGAUCCGACACCCUGAAGAUCGAUUUGUUGCUGAUUAAGAGCACUCUCUGAUCCACUAUGGCAUAGG